GAGGAGGCGUCUGUUGGUCGGAGGAGUUCUGAGAUCCGAUGAGGAGGAGAGAGCCAUAAGAAGUGGAUGUGAGAGAAACGAGGUGGUGAGUGUCUCGGAGGAUGGUGAACCAACGGCGUCGGAAAAAAAGAAAGCUUUGUGCUUUUGCCGGCGGAGUGAGAGGAAGAAGUAGAAAAAGAAGAACUCUAGCAUCACUAAAUUUCAUUUUUAGUUUGGUUUCUCAUUUUGGAUUCUUCUGGGAUUCUUGUUCUCUUUUUAAUUGAUAGAGAAGAGAAAGAGAGGUGAAAAAUAGCUGUAUUGGACAACUAGGUGGAAGAUGGUGAAAAUUUAAUGGCAGAAGAAUGAUGAGAUUAGGUUCAUGAAUUGUAAUAUAUUUUGAAAAGUACAUUUCUCUGUUUUGUUUAAAUUCA
This 410-nucleotide long non-coding RNA is filed under the name Brassica napus (rape). RNAcentral's name for it is "long non-coding RNA (BNAP_LNC021555)". The record is from RNAcentral. Lineage: Eukaryota; Viridiplantae; Streptophyta; Magnoliopsida; Brassicales; Brassicaceae.